Long non-coding RNA from Oncorhynchus keta (chum salmon), 427 nucleotides. RefSeq lists it as uncharacterized. NCBI's taxonomy places the organism in Eukaryota, Metazoa, Chordata, Actinopteri, Salmoniformes, Salmonidae. The transcript has 3 exons. The record is from RefSeq and is a predicted model, not a curated record.
UCCCGGAAUCCAGGUGCUUUUUUUUGUAUUAGGAGCCGCAAGUUGGGCAAUAGGUUACCACACAGGACCCACCUGGAAUAGGUUACCACACAGGACCCUUCUGGAAUAGGUUACCACACAGGACCCUCCUGGAAUAGGUUACCACACAGGACCCUCCUGGAAUAGGUUACCACACAGGACCCUCCAGGAAUAGGUUACCACACAGGACCCUCCUGGAAUAGGUUACCACACAGGACCCUCCUGGAAUAGGUUACCACACAGGACACUCCUGGAAUAGGUUACCACACAGGACCCUCCUGGAAUAGGUUACCACACAGGACCCUCCUGGAAUAGGUUACCACACAGGACACUCCUGGAAUAGGUUACCACACAGGACCCUCCUGGAAUAGGUUACCACAUAGGACCCUCCUGGAAUAGGUUACCACAC